CUCGUCAGAUUCUCGUUUCUCUCUCGUCUCGAACGAUUUAUGAUUUUAUUGAUUGUGUUGUUUUCAUUGGGUGGUAGCCAUUAAACAGAAUAAUCAUUGAUUGUGAUUGUAAUGCUAUUAUUUGUAUUCUCUAAAACUUAUUGCCCUUACGCUCCACCGUGACUAGGUUGGUGGUAUUCACAUUCAGUCCGCAACUUCGAUAACGAUUACUUCUUGGAAAUGGAAAUUAGAAAAUAGUGUAAAGGAGGAAACUGGAUUUGAAAACCCAUGUACCACUGACAUUUCACUAAGAAGCAAAUCGGCAAUGGGUUGGUGAAUUAAUUUCCUAUUACACACAUAAGUUACCAACUCAUAGGAGUACUGUACUGUAUGGUGCAGGAAUUUUGUGAUUUAUUUAUAACUUUUAUAGUUAAGCUUUCAAAAUGAUUAUUAGUGAUUUACCAGAAGAAGUGAUUCUCAUAAUUUUAAGGCAAUUAGAUUUGAUAUCUUUAAUUAAGUUAUAUGACGCCUCAGAUGAUAUUUUGAGAAAAGUUCUGACACUACCUUGUGCAAUAAAGGAAUGGCACAUGUCGCUAAGUUGUUUGGCAACUGUACAAACUUUCAAAUGUAAUCUCUUUAAGGAUGCGGCCCACCACUUACAAGUUUUGAAUUUAUGUAGUGUUAAAGAUUUGCGUAAAACUAAUAUCAUACCAGUCUUAAAGAGGAUGAAAAAUUUAAAAUCCCUUGAUGUCUCUUAUACAGAAAUUAAAUUCUUAGACUUUUUUGACAUGCAUGAUGCUUGUCCUACCAUCAAUAGUUUAUGUAUCAAUUAUAGUUUUGAAAAAGGUAAAGUUACAUUUUCAGAAAGUCAGGUACUGAGAGGUCAAGAUGUAUUUGAAAAAAUGGAAAAUUUGCAUUUAAUUGGCAAUGCCGUUAAUUUGUUGUAUACAAAUGUACCGGGAUAUUUUUUGCAAAAAGCCAAUUUGAAUACUUUAAAAUGUACCAUAAUAAAUGAGCCGACUGGCUAUGUAGAAUGUGAUGGAGAAUUUGAUGGAAUGAUUAAAUUCAAACAAUUUUUUGUUUAUUUCAUGAACUUAGAACUAAGUUAUGGACCUUAUUAUGGCAUGUCCAUGUUCAAUAUGUUAAUUAAAGAACACUAUGAAUUUAUAAUAAUGUAUAACAGAAUAACUUUAGAUGAUGUAAUAGUGUAUGCUACUCCUGUAUUUGAAGAGUUUUUUAAAGAAAAGUUUAAUAUCAAGAUAAGAGGUAUGCCUCAGUAUAAUAAUCAACUCACUGGAAACAUGGCUGUAUUAAUAUUUAAAAAAGAAGAUACUUGUUUUAACAAUACAUUUUUCUCGAACUUAUUUCAUAGGCUGAAAGACUGUUUUCCAGUAUAUUUCGAAUAUGGCAGUAAGAACCCUGUACCAGAUAAUUUUAAUUGGUAUUAUACUACUCCAACAGUACCGCCGAUAGGUGAUUUCAUUGUAGAGGAACCCUACGAAUUUAAAAAAAAGAGGAUCGGUGUCCCGAAUUUUAUACUUAAUUUGGAUGAGCCUUUGAAAAGUAAAAAUAAGGUUCAAUUGACUGUUUCAUUUCUUUUGAACUAUGUUACUCCUAUUACAUUAACACCAAGUUGUGAUUUUUUGUCAAAACUAACGUUUUUAAGUUUAGCUGGUACUGUGCGAUACAGUGUUGAGUUCUUCAAUGUUCUGUUUAGAUGCUGUGCAAAUCUUGAAACGUUAGAUAUUGUAGCGUCAUCUGUAUCGCCGUGCGUGUCGUCUAUAUCCCGAUCGGUACCAUUGAGCAAAACGUUGAAGAACCUGCGCUUGACUGAUAGGAGGUUUGAUUAUAAUACAUUUUUCCAAUCUCUUAGUCAAUGUAAAACAUUGGAAAAUAUUCACGUGCUCGAUCGUUCAUCGGAAACUACGAAUUUGGCAGAUCCAAGCACCCUAAUUAGAAAUUGUAAAAAUUUAUAUAGCAUCUGUUUACAAGCAUGUAUGAGUACCGCAACCAAAAAGAGAAUGAUUAGUGUUUUUAAUAACGCAAAAUCUUCUAUGAAUAUGCAUCACUUGGAUAUUAAAUUGUGCCAAAUAUUUUUGUCACACGACGUUGAAGGAUUUGAGUAUGAACCAUUUAUUCAUGUUUUUAAUGUUUAUCCAAUUAAAAGCGACUUAAAAUUUU
Long non-coding RNA from Ostrinia nubilalis (European corn borer), 2160 nucleotides. RefSeq lists it as uncharacterized. Lineage: Eukaryota; Metazoa; Arthropoda; Insecta; Lepidoptera; Crambidae. The transcript is spliced from 2 exons. The record is from RefSeq and is a predicted model, not a curated record.